This 812-nucleotide ribosomal RNA is filed under the name Bunodera sacculata. Its description in RNAcentral is "partial 28S ribosomal RNA". It matches the Rfam family "Eukaryotic large subunit ribosomal RNA", at positions 129 to 634 of the family's 3401-position model. Lineage: Eukaryota; Metazoa; Platyhelminthes; Trematoda; Plagiorchiida; Allocreadiidae. The record is from RNAcentral.
UUNNNNAUUAGGCAAUGUGGUGUUUAGGUCGUUCCGCAGAGACACUGCUCCACUCUAAGUCCAUUAAUGAGUACGGUUGUACUGACAUGGCCCAUGGAGGGUGAAAGGCCCGUGAGAGUGGAGUCUUGGCAUGACAGUGUCUCUCUGGAUUGACCUUGGAGUCGGGUUGUUUGGGAAUGCAGCCCUAAGCGGUUGGUAAACUCCAUCCAAGGCUAAAUACAAGCACGAGUUCUAUAGCGAACAAGUUCCGCUAGGGAAAGUUGAAAAGUACCUUUGAAGAGAGAGUAAGCAGUGCGUGAAACCGCUUAGAGGUAAACGGGUGGAGUUGAACUGCAAUCUCUGAGAAUUCAGCUGGGGAAUUUUGCUUGAGCUUGGUCAAUUGGGCAGGGCCUCGGGGUAUGCUUAUCUGCAUGUUCUGAUCUUCGGGUCGGAAUGCGCGUUGCUCUUAUCAAGGGCUGUGCGCCCCGGGUGUCCGGCUGGCUCAUUCGCCAGUGCACUUUCUUGGAGUGAUCACCACGACCGGCGCUGCUGCUGGGCUGUUAUUGUUAAACCGGGUAUUCAUCGUCCUUGUGGCGUUGGGUGCACGACACGGCAGGUAACUGGGUUCUUGCUUCGGCUUGUUUCUUGGUGUAUGUCGGCUUUAACGGUUCUAUGCGGUGUGUCGGAGACGGCGGCUUGUGGUGUGUGCAUGCGUGUCUAUCUGUUGGUGCAUUCUGGUUUGGUAGCUGUGUGGUUGUUCGACAGGCCCAGUUAUGGUUGGAGUGUAUCAGUGGGUGGUUGCGUGUGUGGCACUUUUCAGGGCCAAUAGUCUG